CAAGUGAUCAAAAGGAUAACAAACACUAUGAAGAGGAAACCAAAUAUGUAGUAGAAUUGAUUCAGCCAUAUUGAUGUCAAGAUGAAGAAGAGCUCGAUAAAAACAGCACCAAAUGGUAGAAUGCCUCCAAUGAGUAUGGAGAAGACUGGUUUCAUGUACCAUGCCUGUUCAGGUAUUUGCCUAGGAAUUUUGUUUGUUUUUACAGGGUCUUCAAUAGCUGGCUUUUUGAAACCAAGGUAACUACCUACAAAGACCAAGGGGACAGAUAUGCCAAACCACAAGCAAACCAAAGCAAACAUGGUCCCAAAAGGCACUGCCCCUGAAGACUGCUCUCCCCAAAUUAGGGCAUUCAGCACAAAGAAGAUUGCAAAAAGAAUACCCGGGAACAUAAAUGCAGUUUUUAGGGUGUUCCUCUUCCAUUCUGUUCCCUUGAACAUUUUGUACAAACGUGCUGAUGAGUAACCAGCCAAUAUGCCCAUGAAAACCCACAACAGAACCAUAGCUGUCAUAAGGCCACCUCUGUUGGAAGGGGAUAAGAAACCCAGCAAUGCAAAUAUCAUCGUCACUAGUGUCAUUCCAAAGAUUUGUACACCUGUACCAACNAACACAAAGUAAACUAGAAUUGAUAGGUGCCCGGAACACAUCUCCAUGGACAAGUUUCCACCCUGUUUCUUCCUGAGUCUCAUCUUGAGUCUCCAACUGAUUAUAGUUUGCAAUAUCUCUGAACAAAGUUCUCAUCAUGAUCAUGGCCACCAUGCCAGAAAGGAACAGGACAAUCAUUAGUGAGUUUAUGAUGGAGAACCAAUGGAUCUGAUCAUCAUUCAUGAGUAGGUAUGUGUCCCACCGAGAUGCCCAUUUAAUCUCACUUUCCUUGAAGGUAACAUCAUAUGAGAACACAACUUUCUUGCCUGAGUCAACUUCUUGUGGAACAGUACUACCUUGAAUCAACUUCUUGAUGUCCUUGUUGCAUGUUGUCACUUGAGGAUUGUUAUCAUCCCAUUCCUUGUAUUCAUGAUUAAUACUGUUUGGAAUAACCUCAAACCCAACAAUUCGAGCAGAGUCUGUCUCAGGAUCCUUGUGAUACAUAACUCUAAAGCUCAAAUGGUUAUUGAUAAAAUAUUUCUCCUCUUUACUCCCAGCGUAAGUUCCUUUGAAUCCAACACGGAAACCAUGUUCAUAAGUUGUUGACUGACUGCCAUCUCUCCUCUGUCUACGAACAGCAACUGGUAGAUUAUCCAGUAUCAUGUUGACACGAUAUUCAUCAUCAAUUUUUUCCUUGAAAUUCUUGGCAGACUCAACAUCGAGAGUGACUCCACAGGCCACUUUGCAUGGCUGCUCUUCCAUC
RNAcentral lists this unclassified non-coding RNA (1345 nucleotides) under Hevea brasiliensis (rubber tree). Lineage: Eukaryota; Viridiplantae; Streptophyta; Magnoliopsida; Malpighiales; Euphorbiaceae. The record is from RNAcentral.